UAGUGGCGAACGGGUGAGUAACACGUGGGCAAUCUGCCCUGCACUCUGGGACAAGCCCUGGAAACGGGGUCUAAUACCGGAUAUGACCACCGGCCGCAUGGUCUGGUGGUGGAAAGCUCCGGCGGUGCAGGAUGAGCCCGCGGCCUAUCAGCUUGUUGGUGGGGUGAUGGCCUACCAAGGCGACGACGGGUAGCCGGCCUGAGAGGGCGACCGGCCACACUGGGACUGAGACACGGCCCAGACUCCUACGGGAGGCAGCAGUGGGGAAUAUUGCACAAUGGGCGCAAGCCUGAUGCAGCGACGCCGCGUGAGGGAUGACGGCCUUCGGGUUGUAAACCUCUUUCAGCAGGGAAGAAGCGCAAGUGACGGUACCUGCAGAAGAAGCACCGGCUAACUACGUGCCAGCAGCCGCGGUAAUACGUAGGGUGCGAGCGUUGUCCGGAAUUAUUGGGCGUAAAGAGCUCGUAGGCGGCUUGUCGCGUCGGAUGUGAAAGCCCGGGGCUUAACCCCGGGUCUGCAUUCGAUACGGGCAGGCUGGAGUUCGGCAGGGGAGAUUGGAAUUCCUGGUGUAGCGGUGAAAUGCGCAGAUAUCAGGAGGAACACCGGUGGCGAAGGCGGAUCUCUGGGCCGAUACUGACGCUGAGGAGCGAAAGCGUGGGGAGCGAACAGGAUUAGAUACCCUGGUAGUCCACGCCGUAAACGUUGGGCACUAGGUGUGGGCGGCAUUCCACGUCGUCCGUGCCGCAGCU
Molecule: ribosomal RNA, 749 nt
Filed under: Streptomyces sp. 7CM20
Lineage: Bacteria; Bacillati; Actinomycetota; Actinomycetes; Kitasatosporales; Streptomycetaceae
Description: bacterial SSU rRNA
Rfam family: Bacterial small subunit ribosomal RNA
Source: RNAcentral